GCUUAUCGUCAUGAAAUAGCAUGCUGCUUCUUAUUACAUUAGCAAACUCUAAAGCAAGGAUAAGGCCUAAUGAUUACCACAUUGAGACACAGUGUCCAUAAUUAUGGACAUGAACUUCGGAGGUCUACCAUAAGCUUUUUGACAAUUGUUAAAGUUGGCGCUGGUGUAUAAGCCUUCAGUCAACCCUCCGCCUUAUCCCUGAUUGGUGCUGCCUCUCUCGGGGGAGCUUAGACUUUUUAUAUCCACGUCAGCAAUCGGCGGUAAACAGUUGCCGAAAUCAGCCACUGGAGGUUGGUAAAUAAACACGACUGUUAUCAGUCAAAGAUAUUUUUUCUCUCAAGUUAUGGUGUUUUUAAUUCCAAAGAGGAAGGUUGCAGGCGAUGAUUUCAGUACCUUCCAAUUUAUUUCCCCUCAAUUUCCGUACGUUCGGUGUGAUUUUUGAAAAGUCAUGUCCAUAAUUGUGGACCAAUAUGAUCAAAUGACGUCAAACUUUCCCGCCCGCGCGACCUAACCUCACAUUUUUCAGUUUUCGCGGUUUUUCUGAGAAGUGAGAAGUACUUAGAUGUUGUUACUGAAUAUAAGUUCGCGAUGAGUUAUAAAUUGGUUUCAAAAUUUAAAAUUUAAGAUAUCAUGGAUCGACUCAGUCUCAGAGAUAAGCAAAUCAACGAUUUGUUGAGUUUGCUGGAUGAAUCGGACAUAGAAUUGUCCGAUGAUGAAACUAUCUCCCCUGGCCAAUUGAACCCGCUAGACCCCUCCGAUGAAGAUGAAAGUGAAAGCGAUAUCGAUAUUACAUGUGUACCUGAUCCAAUUUUCCAUCCUCCUAAUACACCUGACCCCGGUCUCACUCCACCAUCCAUUAUGUCGAAUUCGCCAUAAUUAAUACACACCAAACCCAUCUACGAGCCCUCGAACAGCACCUGCCCCCAAUCCUGCAAGAAUUUCGCCUAUAUUUCCUCGAUGGAAAAGGCCAACUCACCAGCUCUACAUAUGGUAGUACCUCGAAUAAUGAAAGUUUGUAGCAGAUCAGGAGAUUUAACUGCUCUGAACUUUCCUACAAGUUCCUCGAGUAUAUUUUUUUUUUUUUUUUUUUUUUUUUUUUUUUUUUUUUUUUUUUUUUUUUUUUUUUUUAAAAACCUUGGAAUGCGUUCAUUUGAUAACUUUUGAACUUUUUCCUGACGUCAACAAGAAAUCUCUAAAUUUUUUAUCUAAAGACUAUGACUGUUCUCAAGUGAAAAUUCCCCAAAAACACACAAGAGCGCACCGAUGCAGUUAAAGUUCUUGACCUGACAGCCUUUUAAUUCUAUAAAAAUAAGACGAUUUUCUGUUUUUUAAAUAAUGAGCAGGACUUACAUUUGGACGUAAAUCUGUUUGAUGGAAAUGUAUGUAUGUAUAAAGCCGCUUUUAUAGCGCUCUCUGGCGCUCUGCGACUCCUAGCCGCCAAAGUCCCCUAUCCUCCCAAAGCCCUUAGGCCUUUCAGCCCUUUAUUUGAUGGAAAUACGUCCAUUUAUUCGACAAAACGACCCUGCUAUGGAGGUGAAUUCAUAGAAUCGUACUGUAUAGAUCUAAGAGGAUAAAGAUCCUUUUCAAAAAUAUUUUUCUGUUCUAUUUUAACUUCUUACAUUUUUCUGUUAUUAUGAGACAUGAAGUUAUUUCUCUUGUGCUUUUUUAGCUAACGAUACAAAAAUGAGGAAUUUUAUUGAUAAAGCCUGUCUCAUUUUUCAUAAUAAAAAAGUAAUCCUUAGCUAUUUUGUCACAUUUGGUUGUAACCUAUAUUUCAGGUAUAUUAUUUGUGCCUAAUCCAAUUUCAGUAUUUCCUGGGAAGGAAAACGAAAUUUUUAUAAUCAAUGAUAUACUGGAGGUUGAGAAGUUACGAAACCUCAUUAUAUAUGGAUUACAUUUUGCAAUUCGGAACUAUAAUUUUCGGCUCAUCCGUAAAAACACUUAUAAGUACAGGGAAAUUAAUGGUACAUACGUUGUUUCUAAACUGAGCCAGAAAUUGUAGUUCCAAGUUGCAAAAUGUAGUCCAUAUUGUCUUUCUCUUUUUCUCUCUCUCUCUCUCUCUCUCUCUCUCUCUUCUGUCUCGCCUUUAUUUUCUAGCUCUGCACCUAUUGAAAUCUCAAUAUAUCCUGCGAACAACUGAUGACCUGUACGAUGUAAAGUGUGUUAGUCUGACACGAUCAAAUACCUCAUUUCUUUGAUAAGCGUGGGUCAAAACCACAUAACAAGUGCGUCUCUCCAUACAACCACUCUAAUUCCUUACUCUUACGGCUCUGGUUUGCGUACUUGGGGACGUUUCUUUUACCUUGUGGGUCCAAGCGCAAGCCUUUAGAUUCUUAACUGAGGACUGUAGCAGACAUGAUCGUGAACCGCUUUUCAACAAAUAGCAACAAAGAGAGUGAUAAGUUUUUCGAGCUCUUGGAGAAAAGCGGUGCAGCAUAUGAGGCGAUUAAUGUUGUGAAAAAUGCAUUCUACUGGCUACAGGUGAUCGAAAAAAGUUUUUAUCGAUGAUAUCCAGGAGGAUGAGCAGUGAUAUAAUCUUUUUCUCCAGCUUUCUCUCUCCUUUUUCUUCGUAGUUAAUUUUAUUUGCUGCUAAAAAUUAUUAUUUUUUUAUUUAUAUAAUGGGGAUUCGCAAGUUUUCUAGCUAAAUGGAAACUUUAGCACACCCAUGAAGAAUUGGACUACAUUUUGCGAUUUGGAACUAUAAAGUCUGGCUCUUCUGGAAAUACACUUAUGUGCAAAGGGAAACUAAUGGCACAAACGUUCUUUUUAAAAAGGGCUAGAAUAGUUCUAAAUUGCUAAAUGUAGUCCAAUUCUUAUUUGACUGAUUUUGAUAGUAUGGCGAACUUUAUAAUCUGUGAUACAAGUUCCCAAAGCAUUCUUUAAAUUGGUUUCAUGAUUGGGGAAUAGUAUGUGCCUGAAUUGAUUAAGCGUCAAUUAAGUUCCUCUAUUCUUAUUUUUGCCAGAAAUGUUCAUCAGUUUUACGGAAGAAAAUUUUUAGGCAAAAAUAACAAUGUACAAUAUAUUUAUUACCAGUAUAAAUCUCUAAGGCUAAUCAUCUUUUUAGGCGAAUUUACAUUCGAUUUUGGGUCCUUAUCUUGAAAAACACUGCUCAUAAAUAUUAAAAUUAAGCUCUAAAGUAUCUAUACAUAUAUGUAUUGAUGCUCUUUCCUUAUUGCGGGUUACUAAGGAGGAAGUAAUAGCUGUGAUCCCUAUAUUUCUUGCAGGUGUUGACAAGGAGAAUUCUAGUGAAUUGAGAAUUGAGAGGGGAUCAUCUUCAAAGACGAUCAAAGAACAGCGCCAGCCUCUUCAAGAUUUACAGAUCUCAUCGGUACAUCUGGUAACCGUACUUUUCCUCCUCAGCCAGCUUUCACUGUUACUCCUUCAGAGGAAAAUGAAAACACCUGCCGUCGUAUGCAAACUAGGAAGCGCAGGAUACCCCUAAGAUUCCUGAAUCCUGACGAAAGUCCAUCUGUCAGGUCCGGCAUAAACUCAUCGCAAACUGUUCAAACCAUCAACACUAGAUUUACUUGGUCUUAACACAAGCAUGUUUGCUCGUAUUGAUGCCUUAGCCACAGCUAAACGUUCUAUUCCUGCAGUUCCUACUAGUGUUAUUCCAGCGGUCAAUGUUCCUUCAGCUCCUUGCUCUUACAACCCUUGACCCAAUCUCCAUCGCAGGCCCUAGCUCCGCACCAUCCUCAGGACCUGCUCUGCCACCUCUGACCAGAACAGAUGCAGCCAAGAAGACACAAGCUCCUCUUCUU
RNAcentral lists this long non-coding RNA (3761 nucleotides) under Bemisia tabaci. RNAcentral describes it as "lncRNA ENSSWEETPG002883". The record is from RNAcentral. Lineage: Eukaryota; Metazoa; Arthropoda; Insecta; Hemiptera; Aleyrodidae.